Molecule: long non-coding RNA, 2906 nt
Organism: Clupea harengus (Atlantic herring)
Lineage: Eukaryota; Metazoa; Chordata; Actinopteri; Clupeiformes; Clupeidae
Exons: 4
Source: RefSeq, a predicted model, not a curated record
AGAGUACUAGGGAAUUCAAAUAUGGGCCUACCUACAGGGAAAAAACGGAUGAUUGACCAUUGUUUGAACAGGUUAAGAGCGCCUCUUCUGAUUGGCCUACCGUGUGGUGCUGGAGUGGGAGAGCGCCUCCUCUGAUUGGCCUACCGUGUGGCGCUGGAGUGGGAGAGCACCUCCUCUCGGUCACUGACUACAGGCACUGAGUAGAAGGAUGGCCCAUGUUGACAAAUCCUGAAGUAGAAUACUGUGGAGUUUAAACUACUUGACCAUAUCCAUGUAGAAGUCCAAGGGCCUAAACAUUGUUCAUACACUGGAUGACAUUAUUUCCAGGAUUAAAGAAACCUUCAGAGCUGUUGUCAAGACCCAUUGAAGAAGAGAUGUCUCUCUUGAGUUCAGCCGUCAUCCUUGAUAGGGAGGGGCAACUGUUGUGAAAACAGGGCCCUGAUGAAUACCGUGUGAAUGGGGUAUGAGCAGCACAUAAGAUAACACAGACGUCACUGGACAAGAUGACUAGAAAGGCACUUCCCCACCAGCAGUGCUGGCUUCUUUAAUUAGCAUUAAUGUUUCAAUGCUUUGUGAGCGCCUUUGUCAGAUUUUUGAAUGAAUAGUAAGUGGAUGCAUUUUAGUGAAUGACUUUUGAGAGUUGUUUGAGGGGGGCUGAUACUGUUUGACUUUUGAUCUCAAUGAUUCAAAGCCUGAGUUCAUUUCUGUGGGCGGUGAACACUGACAUUGAUCAAUGACAGUCGUUGCCCAGAGUGAAACAGAUAUGGAGAAUAUUGUUUGGAAAAUCCACUAGGUCAGUUGAGUGCCUCUCCUAGGAUGCCCUUCAUCAAAAAUAUCAGGGGAAAAAACCCUAAAACAAAUUCCCUCUGUUGUCCUGUGGCUGUCUUCUUAUCCCCACACAACCUUUGUUUUUUUUCCCCAGAACGCCACACUUAGCUUCCAAUGAUUUUUGUCUCCUUUCCAAACUUGAGCAAAGCAGAAUGCUGAGUCCCAGUUGAGCCCCCAAGACUACUGGCAUUAGGGUUCAUCAUUGGAGAUGCAGUCUGUUUUGAACUUUAGAGAAUUCCCUCCCGUGUAAUACAAAUGAUGGCUUUGCUCCAAAUGGCUGAAUGCCACCCAGAGAUGAUUUUCUUUGCUGUUGCUGCUCUGUAGGGGCUUAGCAUAUUCUCUGUGAAAGUGAACAGUGGCUGAUGAGGUGGGAGAACGAGAGUGACGAGAUUCAACACUGGCUGCCACCUAAUGCCGUCCUGUGCACAACACGUCUGCAAGAGUCACAUUUGAAAUUACAAUGCGGUUAUUUCAGUCUUGAGUCAUUCGAGAUGUGUGUCCCUUGGUGUAGCGGUUAAGAUGGUGACCUGUCGUGUUUAUUUUAUCAUGCCCACAUAGGCAGUGGUGUGACGCUGUUUCUGGGAUAUCACUCCACUGUCUGAUAUGGUCAUAUUAAUUAGCUGAGUUCCAUAUUUUUAGGAAGCUAAUUAUGCAAGGAACAUGAUUUCAGUCUUAUCUGGAUAAGACUGAGUGGAAUAUCUUGAUACUCUUGCUCAGCGCGUUCUGUGUAAUUGUAAUUACUACUGUAUGGUAUGGAUAGAACACCAGCAAAUUGACUGAGAUUAAAAAAAAUCAUUAUCAGUCUCUAAUGAACAUGCUUUGUUAGCUCAUAUGUUAUUAUGAACACAAUGAACCAAAUUUAACUCACAACGCCAGCAGAUUGCUGCUAACAAUUAGUGGAAGAUGUCUGCCUGUUGUCCCAAAUGCCAAACAUCCAGUCAGUUGAUGUCAGUGAUGCUGACUAAUGUAUCCUCCUGAGUAGACCCAGGUUAAGAUAUUGUGUUUAGACCAACACUUUGACUUUUAAUUAAAUGUAUGUGGACAAAUUUGCCGAUAAGAAAACGUGUGUACAAUAUUUAUUUCAUGAGAUGACUAGCAAUUCAUUCAAGCCUUCACUCAUCCUUUGGAGAGUAAAAUUGUGCUGGGUCGGCCCUGACCUCCUUCUAUCUUUACAUUCAUAAGUUGUGAGAUGAUCUCCUUUGAUGUGGAAUAAUACAUUUAGAAAAGAGUGGAUGCCGUUCAGAUUCCAUUACUGCGAUGUUAAAACUACACUAAGAAUGAAAGUGGUUUGGCCGUCUUGCCAUUACAAUCAUCUGAAAUUAGCUGUGGGGUUUGCGUGAUGAAAUCCAUCACUUUUCCCCCAAUGUCGCACACACUUGUACCAUCAGUCACCCUUCAGGUGGAGCACUGAGUAGUUUCAGUGCAGACCUGCUCUGAGCCAUUAUGAUUUAGACAGGGAGUUCUGUGAUGAGCAUUUGAUUAUUGAUAUCAAUAUGUUAUGGAUGUUGCCGUUUUCUUCCUUUUUUCUGCAGUUUUCUGUGCUUGUAGUCAUAAUUUUAAGGACUUGAGUGUGAAGGAUUUGUGGGUAAGGAAGGUUUUGUGAGGUUCCAUGCAUUGCCAUUUUUUUUUUUUUACACAAAUGAUCGUUUUAAAUAGUUUCAAAUAAUUGGAAAUGUGCAAUUAGGCUUCCUUUAGGUUCAGACUUACAUUUGUAAAUAUCGCCUUGCUCAUAUUUGGGGUUUUGAUGCCAAUUUAGACAGCUUAGAUUAAUCUUCAUCUUUGUUCAUCACUUAAUGAUGGUAUACCAAUAAACAGGAAUGUCGUGGCAAUGCAUUGCUAUGUGAUCGUAAAUAUCCCAGAACAGAAUGGUCAACAGCAACAGCUUUUGUGAGACAGCCAUCGGUUGUAGUCCUGCAUUAGCCUUGUGCAGAGGUCCUCCUCCCUGGGAUCUGUUACAGUGUACUAGUCAUCCAUGAGGUUUGUUUCUCUAUGAUGAUGGAGAGCAUGUGCAGCUGGGUCCAUGACCACAGAGUAAGCCAAGGGCCAGCCUUGCCCACAGUGAAUAGAUUAAAGGGGCC